RNAcentral lists this long non-coding RNA (476 nucleotides) under Lathyrus oleraceus (garden pea). Its description in RNAcentral is "Pisum sativum (pea) long non-coding RNA (PSAT_LNC033338)". The record is from RNAcentral. Lineage: Eukaryota; Viridiplantae; Streptophyta; Magnoliopsida; Fabales; Fabaceae.
UCUUUGGUCCAAUCGUAGCCUUUAAUUCAAAUUAAUCAGUGAUCCCAAUUGGAAGACACAUGGAUCCCUAUCCUCAAUUAUCCCUCUCAACCAAUGGUCCUUUGACACAUCACAAGAAAAAAGAAAAAAACAAAAGUUAAAGAAGUAGUAAAGAAAAAAAUAGAGAUUUAGGACACAAAAGGGGCAGUUCUCAACGUCUCUUUGGACUCUCUCAUUAAGAGAGAUCUUUUUCUGAAAAGGACAAAAAAAAGAAAAUAAAUAAAUAAGUGAAAUAACUCUUCCUCUUCUUCAUUGGAAAAACCUAGCCGCUCACUCUCCAACUUCUUCAUUCGAAAAACCCUAGCCGUCACACCCUCUUCUUCCUCACAAAAACCCUAGCCGUCACGCCCUUCAUCUUCAUUUUCUUCAAGCUUCUUCAACCCUAAACCCGAGCCGCCGCCUCCUUCACCCUUCAUCUUCCUCACUUCAUCAUUUUU